AUUGAACGCUGGCGGAAUGCUUUACACAUGCAAGUCGAACGGCAGCACGGGUGCUUGCACCUGGUGGCGAGUGGCGAACGGGUGAGUAAUACAUCGGAACGUACCCGGUUGUGGGGGAUAACUAACCGAAAGGUUAGCUAAUACCGCAUACGACCUGAGGGUGAAAGCGGGGGACCGUAAGGCCUCGCGCAAUUGGAGCGGCCGAUGUCUGAUUAGCUAGUUGGUAGGGUAAAGGCCUACCAAGGCGACGAUCAGUAGCUGGGCUGAGAGGAUGAUCAGCCAAACUGGAACUGAGACACGGUCCAGACUCCUACGGGAGGGAGCAGUGGGGAAUUUUGGACAAUGGGCGAAAGCCUGAUCCAGCCAUUCCGCGUGAGUGAAGAAGGCCUUCGGGUUGUAAAGCUCUUUCGGCAGGGAAGAAACGGCCUAGGUUAAUACCUUGGGCUAAUGACGGUACCUGAAGAAGAAGCACCGGCUAACUACGUGCCAGCAGCCGCCGUAA
This 502-nucleotide ribosomal RNA is filed under the name uncultured bacterium. RNAcentral's name for it is "partial 16S ribosomal RNA". It matches the Rfam family "Bacterial small subunit ribosomal RNA", at positions 30 to 523 of the family's 1533-position model. The record is from RNAcentral.